Molecule: ribosomal RNA, 640 nt
Filed under: Chirotica sp. NL394
Lineage: Eukaryota; Metazoa; Arthropoda; Insecta; Hymenoptera; Ichneumonidae
Description: eukaryotic LSU rRNA
Rfam family: Eukaryotic large subunit ribosomal RNA
Source: RNAcentral
CCUGAGAAACCCGAAAGAUCGAAUGGGGAGAUUCAUCGUCAGCGACUUUGGUACGUGUGCGGUUCGCGAUGCCGGGAACUUCGGUUUCAUGGCACGCGUCCGCAUGUUUUUUAUUGCCCGAGUCGUCGGCGUGCACUUCUCCCCUAGUAGGACGUCGCGACCCGUUGGGUGUCGGUCUACGACCCGGCGGUAGCCUGUCUCGUGUGCGCUUCAUCGCGUUUCGCGGGGCAGACCCCUGUGUGUCUGGCCGGCUGCCCGGCGGUACUCGCAUGGUAUCUGGCCGCAAACAUUCGAACUGCGUCCGGCCCGUCGCAAGCGAGACAAGUGUUUCCCGGCUGUACGGAUCUAAUGCCGUCACCGGGCCUUGCCCGCUGUUGGUAGACGGUGUCCUAGGACUGGCUAAUGCAAUUAUGAUACCGGUCGGCGACGCUACUGCUUUGGGUACUUUCAGGACCCGUCUUGAAACACGGACCAAGGAGUCUAACAUGUGCGCGAGUCAUUGGGAUCUAUUAAGCCUAAAGGCGCAAUGAAAGUGAAGGUCGGCCUCGCGCCGACCGAGGGAGGAUGGGCCGCGUCACGAUGCGGUCCCGCACUCCCGGGGCGUCUCGUUCUCAUUGCGAGAAGAGGCGCACCCAGAGCG